UACGUAGGGUGCGAGCGUUAAUCGGAAUUACUGGGCGGAAAGCGUGCGUAGGCGGUUCGCUGUGUCCGAUGUGAAAGCCCCGGGCUUAACCUGGGAAUGGCAUUGGAAACUGGCGGGCUUGAGUGCGGCAGAGGGGGGUGGAAUUCCGCGUGUAGCAGUGAAAUGCGUAGAGAUGCGGAGGAACACCGAUGGCGAAGGCAGCCCCCUGGGUCGACACUGACGCUCAGGCACGAAAGCGUGGGGAGCAAACAGG
This 253-nucleotide ribosomal RNA is filed under the name uncultured bacterium. RNAcentral's name for it is "partial 16S ribosomal RNA". It matches the Rfam family "Bacterial small subunit ribosomal RNA", at positions 524 to 776 of the family's 1533-position model. The record is from RNAcentral.